AUGAUCCUGUGGCUGAAUCUGGUGCCCUUGUUAGUAUUCCUUCAAGGAGUCCAGUCUCAAGUCCAGUUGGUGGAGUCUGGAGGGGAUGUGAGAAGACCUGGGGAGUCCCUCCAUCUCUCCUGCCAAGCCUCUGGAUUCACCUUCCGCAGCUAUACAAUGCACUGGAUGAGACAGGCUCCUGGGAAAGGACUUGAAUGGGUGGCAGCAAUAGCUAUAGGAUCAUCUCCUUCCACUAACUACCCAGACAAAGUCAAGGGACGCUUCACCAUCUCCAGAGAUGAUUCUCGCAGCCAGCUGUAUCUGCAAAUGAACAGCCUCAAACUAGAGGAUUCCGCAGUUUAUUACUGUGUGAGAGCGACACAGUGA
Molecule: non-coding RNA, 366 nt
Organism: Thamnophis elegans (Western terrestrial garter snake)
Lineage: Eukaryota; Metazoa; Chordata; Lepidosauria; Squamata; Natricidae
Source: the annotation of a RefSeq genome assembly